UGGCGGCCUUAGCGCGGUGGUCCCACCUGACCCCAUGCCGAACUCAGAAGUGAAACGCCGUAGCGCCGAUGGUAGUGUGGGGUUUCCCCAUGCGAGAGUAGGGAACUGCCAGGC
RNAcentral lists this ribosomal RNA (114 nucleotides) under Escherichia coli. RNAcentral also lists the same sequence under 1 other name. The record is from RNAcentral. Lineage: Bacteria; Pseudomonadati; Pseudomonadota; Gammaproteobacteria; Enterobacterales; Enterobacteriaceae.